CCUCCCCCUCCUCCUCCUCGCCCCUCUGCAGGUUUAAAUUAGCAUCCCAUCUCCUGCACUCCAGCGUGUGAUAACACAUCUGAUCUGCGGCAGCAUGGAGUCAGAAUACUAAAUGCGUGAGUCGCUCUGAGGACCAGCAGAGCUCUGCCAACCCAUUCGAGGUAAUCUCUCACCCCCCGUCCCCCCUCCUCCCCUCCGACUCCCAUCUCCUCAGCUGCUUCAAACGUUUUAACCAUUCAGGCUAUUAGUCAGAAAGAGAGUCAUAAAACAGUUGUUCCUGAUGGGGACUGUGUGGGAUAUAUUCCAUUAGUCAGACAGGACGGAGGGAGGAGAGGCCAGUGUUAAUAUUCCAUUUCAUUGUAAAUGCACAUCGACAAAACUUGUGUCUCUGUAUCAAAUGUAAAAAUGAAAAAGGAGAAAAUAAAGAAUUAGCCAUAAGAAUGUGUGGUUUUUGGCAAAUAAAACAAACAGUGUAAUACAUAAAAGUGUCCAGCAUGGCCUUUAUUGUACUGUUCACUUGUACAUGUUUCAUGCUGUUCCGUGGUCAUAAUAACCUUUAGGAGUGGAACUACGUGCACUUCAAAUACAUCAAAUUAAAUAAAUCAAAUUAUACCAAAAAGAAUACAAAACCAAGGGAUGUCAAAGCAGUUAAACUACACUAAUGUGCCCUGAGUUGAAUGAAGGCAAAUUAAACUGUAGUGAUGAGAUAUAAAUGUCUUGUUAGUCAACAGCAUUCUAAUCUUUAUUGAAGGAUUUUCUUUCCUUUCCUGAUGGAAAAGAAGCUGAUCUGAAGCCCACAGCGAUUUCUCUCGUCCUGUCGGCUUCUUAUUUUGUUUACUUCUUUGGAGGAACGCGAGUCUUUAAAGGUUUAAUAAUGGACAAAACGCGCUUCAGAUGGACGUUUGCGAGCAGCUAACGAGCCGCUCGGGGAAUAUUCGCCGGGAGAAAGAAAGUCGACGGUUUGACUCACAGACACGCCGCUCUCGGACGAGAUGUCCCUCUGCGAGCUGGAUGAGCGCGAGGACGCCGGGAGGAGGAGGGUGGCAGGGGUUAACGUUGAGGGAGGAAGAGUGUCGAUAUCACAGCAGCAAUUACUGCUUUAUAAAUGGGCCCGGCGUCGCCGUGAAUGAGCAGCUCCAUCAAUCUGUCCUGACAGCGCUCCUUAGCCCGUCGCUCCCACUCCUGCCCGCAAUCUGUAGAUUUCAACUUUGCCCAGAAAUUGCUAAUCCGAUUGAGGCGUAACUUGGUUAGCUGCUGAAUGUGCUGGAGGAGGAGGAGGUGGUGGAGGAGGAGGAGGAGGAGGCAGACUGCCGGCUCAGCUCAAACACACCCAGCACACACACACACACACACACACAGUGCAGCUCUGCAUGAGGAGUCCUGCAGGGAGGAGGCCGGAGAGCAGCACUCUUCCCUCCUCGGGAGGUCCAACGGUGGUCUGAAGGUGUCAAUGAAAUCACGUCCGAGAUCUUAACGCUUGGUAUUUGCAUUAAUGAUGAAGAUAUUAAUCCGUCUCAAACAAACGUUCAGAAUCCUUCCAGGUUUAGCUCAUAAAGUAAAAAGCUAACGGGCCGCGGUCACAUGACUUUGUGUUAGAAGGAGGAGCCUUUACGGCAGCCCAAACAGCAGAUCAUCCCUUUCACAUAUAAGUUGUUAGGUCAGAGAAGGAGAAGUUAAUGUGAUGACGUAGUGAAAUGACGUUUGCCGUUUGACGGCAGAGAUUGUAGAUCGUAUCUGAUCUCCAACCAGCAGCCUGGCUGACUACAGGCCCGUCGCCCUGACCUCUGUAGUCAUGAAGUCUUUUGAACGGCUAGUCCUGACCCACCUGAAGUCCCUCACCGACCCCCUCCUGGACCCCCUGCAGUUCGCCUACAGAGCCAACAGGUCUGUGGACGAUGCUGUCAACAUGGCCCUCCACUACAUCCUCCAGCAUCUGGACUCCCCAGGAACCUACGCCAGGAUCCUGUUUGUGGACUUCAGCUCUGCCUUCAACACCAUCAUCCCGUCUCUACUGCAGGACAAACUCUCCCAGCUGCACCGCCCGACUCCACCUGCAAGUGGAUCACAGACUUCCUGUCUGACAGGAAGCAGCGCGUGAAGCUGGGGAAACAUGUCUCAGCCUCUCGGACCAUCAGCACCGGUUCCCCCCAAGGCUGCGUUCUUUCCCCUCUGCUCUUCUCCCUGUACACCAACAGCUGCACCUCCAGCCACCAGUCCGUCAAGCUCCUGGAGUUUGCGGAUGACACCACCCUCAUUGGACUGAUCUCUGGUGGGGACGAGUCCGCCUACAGGUGGAGUCUGACCAUCUGGUGUCGUGGUGCAGUCAGAACAACCUGGAGCUCAACGCUCUAAAGACAGUGGAGAUGGUUGUGGAUUUCCGGCGGAACAGAGCCCCACCCUCCCCCAUCACCCUGUGUGACUCCCCCGUCACUAUUGUGGAUUCCUUCUGUUUCCUGGGCUCCAUCAUCACCCAGGACCUCAAGUGGGAGCUGAACAUCAGCUCCAUCACCAAGAAGGCUCAGCAGAGGUUGUUCUUCCUGAGGCAGCUGAAGAAACUCAACCUGCCAAAGACGAUGAUGGUCCACUUCUACACGGCCAUCAUGGAGUCCAUCCUCUGCUCCUCCAUCACCGUCUGGUACGCUGCAGCCACAGCCAAGGACAAGGGCAGGCUGCAGCGUGUCCUCCGCUCUGCAGAGAGGGUGAUCGGCUGCAAUCUGCCGUCCCUGCAGGACUUGUUCGCUUCCAGGUCUCUGAAGCAGCUAAAAAGAUGGUAGCCGACCCCUCUCACCCCGGACAAAACCUGUUUGUGCCCCUUCCAUCUGGCAGGAGGCUGAGGUCCAUCAGGACUAAGACCUCCCGCCACACCAACAGUUUCUUCCCGUCGGCAGUCGGGCUCAUCAACAGAGCCGGUCCCCCACUGCCUGACUACAACAUUCCACCGGUCACUCCCCUUCAUACUGCACAUGUCACUUUAACUGCAAUUCAUCACUUUGUCGUCACUCGUCACUUAUGUUUCCUGGUUCCUGAUUCCUGAUCCUGAUUCACCGGUAUCUUGUCCUUCUCCAGCUUCGUUGUGGAUGCUCCCGGUGGUCGAUGACAACGACCUGUUUGUCAUUCAGCCUGCAGACUCAUCGAUGCUUUCACCUAAGAAACGUAUUAUUUAGACCAUCGAGAUGCCUGGAUCUUUUUGACAGCUCUUCCACAGAGUUUCCACUUUAGUCUUGCUUGUGGUAUGAAGCAUGAUUUAGGCAUGGAGACCCACACAGUGAGAUAAGUGCUCAUUGUGCAGCGGGCCGAGCCUCUAUAGUUUAGUAUUGAUCCUCGGCUGCCUCAUCCCAAAACCCAAUGAAUGGAGCUUUGGGGAUUAACAGCCAAUAGGAUCGCUGGGUAAUUGAGUCUUUAAAAAACACACAUGGAGAGCCCAGAGGUGAAUUCCCUUUGAGACUGUCGAUCUGCUGCCAAGUUACACCACAUUUUCACAUUUGUGAACAUUUUCAUGACUGUUGGUGUUUAGGCAUAAAAUAAUCCUGAAUUAGUGUCUUAAAAGAUUCAGAAAGUGUGUUUCAGACGCUGCGAUACAAAGAAGAGUCAUUUGAAGUUGUUUUUCCGGGUGUUUAACUAGCAAACAUUGGCGGUUUCUCUGCCUCUGCCCGGCUGGAAAGACCCACCUCUUCCGUCUGCCUUUGAACUGAGAACGAUAACGCUUCGGACGUAUUUCCUGGGAUCCAUUGAUGAAGGCAAUCAAUAGCCAGCAGCUUUGGACAGACAUCAAUGUAACACUUGUUCGGAUAAUCUGGGCUCUGUUUCUCCUCUCCCAGAUGACCUAAAUGAGCCGGAGCGAACAGACAAACACAGCAGUUCAGGUGUGAACGAGUCUAAAACUCUCCACAAUAUGUCCCAGCAUGCUCCGCUCUGACCUCCUGGACGCUGCAGCACAGCGUCUGUUCCUCGGCAUCCAUGCGGUGAAUUAACAGCCUCUGAUCAGCCAGCAGCUGCUUCUCUCCGGCACGGAAACAUUAUGAAUACAUCCGUCCAUACAUAUGUAUGCCGACAGAUUACCACCUCUGCAACCCUCCAGAUGCCGCCGCCGUAAUGACAUGCAACAUGAUCGUCUGUGUAUAUUUGUCUUAGCGGCGGGCCGGGCCUCUUGUUCUGCAUCCCAUUACACCGCUGCCGUGCCGAAACAUGCAUCACCUCACUGACAGAGUGAGAGGAGCAGCCAGCAAACAAAUAGCAUCCAGCUGAGCCGCGGGAUGCUAACUGCUGGCUCCGACGCAAAUGUGCCCUUUCUGUGAGCUCGCCGAGGACGAGAGGACCAUUUGGGUUUCUCUUCUAUUUAGCCUAGCUUAGCACAAAGACUGGAAGCAGGGGGGUACUGCUAGCCUGGCUUCGUUGAUCUUCCUCAUUAGCAUAAAGUCCCCAAAGGCUGCAAACAUUGUGAAGUGAAGACAUUUAGUCUCAUAUUGAUUAAAAAAACACCAAUACAAUAACUUUAUUCUUCUUCUGCUCUCCUGAAUUGUUGUGCGUUAGUUUAUUUACUACAAAGUUUGUAAAAUAUCCGAUGGAUAAGUCAUAAUAAGAUUAAACGUCAUACACACACACGCACACAAACAGACACACACAGAGCCCCAGUUGGUUGUCUCGCCGUCUUCAAGAGAGGACGACCGGGGGACAACUGGCGGCCAGAUAGCCGCAGCGGGGAGUAGGAGGGAGACGCCGCCCCGGCGCUUCCGUCCCACCUUUCCCUCCCCCUGUGUUCCCCGCCGCCCGUCGCCACGGUGACGGCGCCGGCUCAGGGCCGCCAGCUGACGACCGGCAGGGAGGAUUAAUCGGCGUCGGGCGGCGAGGCAUCUGCUGCUGGAGGACGAUUAAAGGGUCUUUCCAGCUAACAUGUGGAGGCACCACGGCCGCCUGUCUGUCUGACUGUCUUGUCUGUCUGUCUGUCUGUCUGUCUGUCUGUCUGUCUGUCUGUCUGUCUGUCUGUCUGUCUGUCUGUCUGUCUGACUGUCUGUCUGACUGACUGUCUGACUUUCCAUUUGACUGUCUGACGUCAUGAAACGUUCAAAUACAACCCUCACCUUCUUGGUUAUUUUGCUUCCGGUGAACGGGAAGCGACCUCAUCCGGACUGAGGACGUCUCAGAGACUUGUCCCAUCGGCCCGUUCAAAUGUUUGUGUAGGUACACGUGUGGAGAGCAGACCCUUGAGGACACGACGCAGAAAACCUUCCGUAUCUGCAAAUAUACCACGUAUCGAUCUCUCUCCAUGUCCACGUGUCUUCCUGUCCCCUGUUACGACCUGCCCCCCCUUCUGUCUCAGCCUCUCGGUGUUUGGGUUACAGGUCUCAGUCGUCCUUAGAACACAACGUGUUUCCAUUUGUUGUGACUGGCCUGUUUCUGCUCUAAAGUGAGACUCCGCCUGCACGCCGACUAAGACGCCGACUCGUCCGUCCCAAUCCAACGUCCCCUCGCAGUGGGAGGAGCUUUAGCGCCUUGUCAGUGACGGCCUAUAUUUACCCAGAGACGACGUUAGCCAUUUCCUGCAGAGAGCGAACCAAAGACCCGCUGGGUAGAGGUCUUAAUGCGAGCUCGCCUACGCAGACCAAGACCCAACGCUUAUUCUUUUAUUACGACCUCGAGUUCACCGGGAAGAACCGCCACAAGAGACCCGAUCACAGAGACCCAGCAAGGGUACAGAACCAGAGACCCAGCAAGGUACAGGACCAGAGAGACCCAGCAAGGUACAGAACCAGAGACCCAGCAAGGUACAGGACCAGAGGGACCCAGCAAGGUACAGGACCACAAAGACCCAGCAAGGAACAGAACCAGAGAGACCCAGCAAGGUACAGGACCGGAGGGACCCAGCACGGUACAGGUACAAGUGUGAGUAAAGAUGAAGAGAAGAUAAAUCCAUCAAACUCUGGAUGUUUCUUCUCUGCCUCCAUCACAAUAACGUGUGUUCAUCGGUCUCAUAACUCCUCCAUAAUAAUCCUUAGAAUAGAGACGUAGCAGAACAUGCGUCCGUAUUAGAAGGUCCACUGGGGAGCUGUUUGACGUCUCCUAAUGAUAGACUGCAUCUCAUGUUUGAAUGAAUAUGAUUAAUAUACUGCUGAUGUCUAUGUAAUCUUCUAUGGCUUCAUGGAUGUGCACGACGAGAACACAGUCCUCCCGUGUUCAUUGUGUCAUCAGUGAUCAGGAGCUGAUGAGUUUUUGUUAAAUGUGUGUUCCAGAGAAGCAGAAUAGUGUUUCUGCACCUCCAUCGGAGAGAUAACCCGACCCCCCGGCCACAGUCCUCGUAUCGUCCACAGCGGAGCUCCUCUAUUGAAGUCUCUUACCAGGGGAGUAUAUGAGGAGAAACAUCAUGGGGGCGUAGUUAUGAAAAACCUUUUGUUUUAUGGAAAAUAUGAAACUUUUGUUAGAAACCAGUGGCGGCAAGAACAGGGUGCCCAAAUUACUAAAAAGUUAAAUAAUAAUGUCACAAUAGUAAAAAUAAUUGAGUGAGUGGUUUAGUCAGUAACGAGCAGGUAUUAUUAUCUACAUCACUAACGUCCUGUGAAAUCUGACAAAAGUGCAGCAAUGUGAGAACAAGCAAAUGAUGAUUUUCCAAUAUAGAUUUUUUUUUUCCUCCAUCAUACGGAAAAAGAAAAUUAAAAUUGGCAUUUGACCUUUUUUCUUGUUGUGUAAGAUGCAAUAUCGCACGUGUCAGACGGCAAGAAAGUAGAAAUAUUUCAAAUUCAAAUUGAAGCUCUGAAAACGUUUUAUUUUUGUCGACUUGAUUCAGCUGUCUUUAGGAAACAAUGUCAAUUCCUACUCGAAGGGGGAAGGUUAUAAGGAUGCUGAUAUUAAUCGGACACAACAGCUUCUCUCUGUUAUUUAGUCUGUUUUUUGUUGCACUUCCACAUUGAACACCUGUUAAAGUCUCCAUCAUCUUUCCCACUAAUCAACACGCUGCAAUGCACCAGCAGAGGUCAAGAUUAAACACACUUCAAGUUGAUAUUAGGAAGAAAACCACCAGGUUGUAUUUCAACCUCAAAGGGAACCGUUCUAUGGACUAAGAGGUGUUCAAUAACCUGCUGCCUCUACUUCAGCUCGUGGCUAUCAAUCUUUAGUGGUGCGUGUCUCCCCGCCUCACUGACCCGGGAGACGCGUUCUGUCCAUCAGGGACGAAUCAGAGUCUCUGACCGCCGCGGGCAUCGAACGGUGAUCUCGGCCGGUUGAUGGAGGAGCGGAGGCUGCUUGUGAAGCCCGGCGCAGUAAAUCUCUGCGGAUCGGAGCGCUGCGACGUCCCUCGUCCCUUCGUCCUCUCUCUCUGCAGCGGGCGGAGCGGGCAGCGGCGCCGGAGUCGCUGGACGGGAGCAUGGCGCCCCCCGGAGGCCGAUCCCUCCACCCAUCACCCCCACUGCAGCGGGGGGGGCACGUCAUGAAUAUUUCACCGGGUUUAACUCCCCUUAAAAUAUGCAUUCUAAUUGGGCCUAAGUGGCGCAGCUCCUCUCUAAGUAGCUUCCUGAUCCUUCCCGCUCAAACUGACACGUUUCAUAUGCUUGACAUGUUUUUUUAAUGUUGCUUACUAAUCUGUUUCUUCCUCCGGCUGAACUUAACUGAAGCUACUCACAUUCCAGGCAGCUCCUGACUGCCAGCAGCAUGGUGCCGUUUACCCGUGGGGGGGGGGGGGGGGGGGCACAGGUCAAAUACAACCUGAAUAAUAAUGGCAAUGCAAAUAUGACGCCUUGUUUACUGUUAGUGGGUCUUAUCUGUUUUCAUUCAAAAAGCCGAGCAGUAAAUCCUUUGGUAAUAAGUUUGACCUGUAAAUUUGAAUUUCUUCAUGUCUCUUAUCAGCUGACUCCAACAGACGGCCUCCGAAUCGACCCUUUCAGUAUUUUAACUAGCGUCUAAUCAAAUGUGCUUUCAAAUCCUCUCCAGUGGACUAAAUAAUACGGCUUGUUGUUUGUGGAACGUGUGACAGUGAGCGGAGCUUCAAGCUGCUGCUCACAUCCAGCCGUGUAACAGAAAAUGAUUGGAGACCAGAUGAGGAAUGAAGAUUCAUUCUGAACACAGCGCUUACACAACUUCCAUUUCUGCCUCUGAAAUUCCACAGUGAUUAUUUUUGUUUUGUUCAAUGAAACUUUCAUUUAUUUAUUUCGCAAUAAUAAUUCGGUGGAAAUUGAGAACCAGAGAACGAGGAGUCGCGGAGCUCAACAGGAAAUUAUGCAGCCUGAAGUCCGGGAGGCGGUUCUUGGCUGAUACAUAAAAAAAUCCUGCAGCUCACAGGAUGUGUGGAGCCCACACACAUAAUCAUAAAAUCCAUACGCACCGCAGUGAGAGCAGCCAAACGUACGCAGCAAUCUGUGCCCACGCUGUUCAGAAGAACAUCAGAGCAGACCCAAGCCUCCACCCGAACCUCCAACACUCGGACUCCUCAAUCAUGAUGGUGCAGCGUCCAAUCAGAGUCACCUCCUCUGGUCCUCCACGGUCCACAUCAUCUGGUCCUCCAGAGUCCACAUCCUGUGGUCUCUUACAUCAUAUCUAGUUCCAGAUCGACAAUGUUGGGAUUUUCACAAGCUUAGAGCGAGAAGCAGGAGUCGGAGGUCUGUGAGUAUCGGUCCUCCGAAGUUUGGUUUCAGUGUCCUGAGAACCGUUAUAAUAUAUGCUAAUAAUAUAUAAUAUAAUUACAUGUUAUGUAACUCUUGUAAGAACUUAUUGUUCAUCCGAGGGCGUUUAACUAAAAGAUUUAACCAAACUGUUGACACAAACCUGAGAAAACCUGUUGAAGCCACAGCAGCCAGCCUGUGGAAUUAGGAUUUAUCUUCUGCGAGCUGAGCAGUCUACCUGAGGAAGGACGAGUACUCAGGUGUGAGGCUACAGGUGUGUGUGGACAUUUGUUCACAUCGAGUCUCUUGCUAAAUGAGUCACGACACACACACACAUCGCAACGAUAACGCUCAACACGAACGCCACUAUACACACACACACACACACAAUCCCACACACUCCAAAGGUCGAUGCCCGGCUAUCAAACCCCGACACACACACUCACACACACACACACACACACACACAGAGGGGGUCCACUGGGGUUUGGAGUAGAAAGAGACUCACUGUUGGUUUCAUCCUCGCUCGUCGCUGUAGUGGCUUUGAUCCUCCUCUCCACUGCAUCCCUCUCUCUCUCUCUCUCUCUCCCUCCCCCUCCUGCUCCUCCCUACUCUCACCCUUUCCCUCUCUCCCCAUCUGCUUGCUUUCUCUCCCCCUCACCCUCUCUCUCUCCCUCACCUUUUCCUGCUCUCCCCCAUCUCCCCCUCUCACUCACUCCAUCCUCCUUUUCUUCUCCCCUCUCCUCCUCUCUUUCUCCCACCCUCUCUCCAUCCUUCUCUUCCCCUCCCACUCUCUUUCUCUCCCUUCUCUCUAUUACUCUCUCUCUACAACUCUCUCUCCCCCUCUGCCUCUGGCUCUCUCUCCCCUUACCCCACUCUCCCUCUUCCUCACUCACUCUGUUCUGAAACAUAAUGGACGGCGGUAAGGCAGGCGCAGCGCUUUGUUGCCAUGGUGAUGGCAAAGGAACUAAUAACCUGGUGAAGAGCAGAUAAGGCUGUGAACAGAGAGAGAGGAGAGCGGACGGGAGGAAGGAGAAACAAUGAGCAGUAGGUAGGGCAGGGGGAGGGGGGCACAAGUAUUAAAACUGAGUAUUAGUACUGUGAGUGUGAGUAUUAGUUGUAUUGCCGUGAGUGAAUGUGAGUGGUGUUGUUGUGCGUGAUGAUUGUAUUGUAAUUCUAAGUGAUUAUUACGAGCUGCAUAUUGAAUAUGUGAGCAUUAUCAUUUCUGCUAAUAUGCAUAUAAUGUGAGUACAUAAAGUAUUGUUUCUGCGAGAGUGUGUACUGUUGUGAGUAUGAGUAUUACCACUAUGAUUGUUAAUUAUUAUAAUGGUUAAAGUAUUAUUUUUAUAGGUAAAAUAAUAUGAUUUUGAAUUUCACUACUAUUAGUAGAAUUGGCCUUUUUGUCAUGAAAGUGUUUUAUAUCUAUCUCUAAAUGCUGAAUGUGUUUACAUUAAGAUCUUAUAUUUUGACUUCAUCUCACCACAAGGCAGAAGACAACAGUAACCAUUUACUGAGUGUUUGAUACAAACCAAAAGGGAAUCACACACAUUCUACCUCACGUCGUGGCUGGCUACCCACAAUGCAACUUGUCAACCGCUAGUCGGGUAUCUUUGUGGGGGAAUGGUCUCCAUGGUGCUGAAGCCUCACUGCGAUGUGUCCUGGUGGCCCAUGGUGCUCUCCAUGGUGCUGAAGCCUCAAUGUGAUGUGACCUGAUGGUCCAUGGUGCUCUCCAUGGUGCUGAAGUCUCAUUGCGAUGUGAUCUGAUGGUCCAUGGUGCUCUCCAUGGUUCUGAAGUCUCACUGUGGUGUGUCCUGGUGGCCCAUGGUGCUCUCCAUGGUUCUGAAGCCUCACUGCGGUGUGUUCUGGUGGUCCAUGGUGCUCUCCAUGGUUCUGAAGCCUCACUGUGGUGUGUCCUGGUGGUCCAUGGUGGUGCUGUGUUGCUGAAGCCUAAUGUACAAAAUCGUUAUGGCCUCUGCUUCCCCAGGGAUGUUAUCAAUAUAUAACCAAAGUAGCUAUUCUUUUGUGGUUUGCUAGUCAAAGGUGAACCUAACAAAUGCAACAGCGGUUCGGUCAGAUAUUUGGGUGAGAUAUGCCUCCCUCUCCUUUAUGCUCCUCUCUCUUCAGCCUUUAGUAGAGAUGAGCAGCUCGCCACAGAGCACAGCUAGCUUUGCUUAUAGUCCACACCAGUGCGUUCCGUUGUUGUUCUUUCAUUUUGUUACCUCUGUUUCACUCUGACAUGAACUCCCUGCUAUCCAGUCACUCCCUGCUGCCCUGCAGUAACCCCUUCCCAGCAGCUGACCUUCCUCGCCCACCUGCCCACUUGUUUAGCUGCUUUCCACCUCCCUCAUCAGCCCUGCAGUGUAAACACCACAUUGUGUCGUUUGCAUUUGCUCAGAUUUGUAACCUUUUCUGCCUCUCCAUCUUCCUUAUUCAUGAAUUAAAGAUUCCCUCCCCGGAUUGGUUUGUCUUUCCUGACUUUGAUUGACAAGAGUCUCUGGGGGCCUCACCUCCUGUCAUCUAUACAAUGAGUAAAUAGAAUCCCCCCAAAACAUCAACAAACUAAAGCUUUAAAUACUACAGUACAAAAGUAAAUGUAUUUAUCAUGAAUAGACAGUGAAAAAAAUCAGAAAUUUUGUUUCAAAAUGUGUAAAUUUGGGUUUGAUGGUGGAGAAAAAGUAAGCUCAGCCUAAAAAAAUCAAAGCGAGAAGAAUCCUCUGAAAAACAACCCUGAGUAUCAACAUAGAUCUUUAUAGAUAUUGGACUCACAGUCUUUCAGAAAAAGUCCAGAAUCCUGCAUCAGGAUGAAAGCCAACAUCAGGGUGCCAGCAGAGGAGACAACCCCCCCCCCCCCAUCUCUUUCUAAUGGGACCACAAACCCUUUCUCCAAAGAAACACAGGCUAGUGAUGACCAGGGAACUCCAUUCCUGAGGUUUAAACAUGACGAAUGAAAUGUUCCUUUAACAGUUGAGGAAAUCCAUUUAUAUUUAAGGCUGAAAGAGAACCCUGUAAUGAGGUUUUUGAGGGUUUCUUUAGUCCUUCAACCAUAUAAGAAGCUCUUUUUCCUUAUCGCAUGACAAGUUGACAUUAUUACAGAUACAUGGAUUUUAAUGGAUGGCAAAGUUUCCUCUUCAUUUUUAAGGGUCUUUAAGUGUAGAAGCGUAUCUUUUUUUCCAACACUGGAAAAAGACAAGAGUAGAAAUUAUUUAACUUAUUCGUACAAUAAGACAAGUCAAAUAUUGCAAAAAAGAAUUCCAUAGUUUUUAUGAGAGUUAACCUGGAGAUUUCUUUCAUCUUAAGCAUCAUUAUCUGUAUCUCUAUAACCUGAGGGUGAACCUGCUCACACACACACACACACACACACUGAGAGGGUCAAGAAGGUGUGUGUUUUGAGGAGGGGGGGGGGGCUGCUGGGCGAGGAAUGUACUUGGAGAUGUUUUCCUACUCUUCAUUUGAUGUUGCUGUUUUCCUGGUCGCUUUGAUCUCCUGCUCCAUCGCUGUCGAGCCGCUGCUGAAGUUUGAGAUUCAGUGUGAGUGUGAGUUCACACACACACACACACACACACACACACACACAAACACAUCCAUUCAUCGCCUGUGUCAUCGGUUUACUCGACAGUCAAAAACAAAACUGCAACAUCUUGGACGUGAAGCAGGAGUGAAGGCAGGAGGAGGACUAUCCACUAGCAGUGGAAGAAGUACCCAGAUACACUGAAGUAAAUCUCCAGAAGCAGAAGCAUCAACAUACACUUAUAU
Molecule: long non-coding RNA, 12338 nt
Organism: Gasterosteus aculeatus aculeatus (three-spined stickleback)
Lineage: Eukaryota; Metazoa; Chordata; Actinopteri; Perciformes; Gasterosteidae
Source: Ensembl